UCCUAGAAAGACCACAAUUUUGCUCCAAUGUUUGACCGUCCAUCUUAUUUAAAAAAAUUAUGAUUAGUAUUUUAUUGCUAUUAGAUGGUAAAAUAUGAAUAAUACUUUAUGUGUGACUACUUUUUUUAUUUUUGCAUAAAGUUUUGAAAUAAGACGGACGGUCAAAUGUUGAACACGGAAAUCCAUAACUGCACUAAAA
This 199-nucleotide microRNA precursor is filed under the name Oryza barthii. Its description in RNAcentral is "MIR812 microRNA precursor family". It matches the Rfam family "MIR812 microRNA precursor family". The record is from Rfam by way of RNAcentral. Lineage: Eukaryota; Viridiplantae; Streptophyta; Magnoliopsida; Poales; Poaceae.